UGAGUUGCCUAGCACCUCAUUAAGUUGCUGAGGCUGGGUCUGAACUCACAAUCCUCCUGCCUCAGCCUCCCGGGCCACUGGGAUUACAGGCAUGUGCCACCUCACCCAUCUCCUCUAUGUGCAAUUCUUAAGAAAUAAUACAAAGAGAUCCAUCCUGUGCACCCUUCAUUCAGUUUUCUCCACUGCUGAUAUCUUGCAAAAUCUGGUACAAUAUCACAAUCAGGAUAUUGACAUGUGGUCAAGAUCCUGAACAUUUCCAUCAAGACAAAGAGCCCUCGUGCUGCUCUUUUAUAGCCACAUCCACUUCUCUCCCACCUCUACCCCUUCCUUCACUCCUGGCAAGAACUAAUCCUUUCUCUAUAAUUGUGUCAUUUUGAGAAUGAUAAGUAAAUAGAAUCACACACUAUAUGACCUUGUAGAUGGCUUCUUUUCAUUCUGCAUGAUUUCUCUAGAGAUUCACCCAGUUGUUACCUAUCAAUAGUUCACUCCUUUUGAUUGCUGAAUGGUGUGGAUGUAACAGAGGUUAGCCAUUCACCCACUGAAGAAUAUCUGUCUGGACUGUUUCCAACUUGGGGACAUUUUGAAUAAAGUUGCUAUAAACAUUCAGGUAUGGGUGAAGAGAAGCCUUCAUUUCUCAGAAAUAAAUGCCCAGGGAUGCAAUGACUGGGUAGUAUGGGAGUUGCAGGUUUACUUUUAUUUAUUUAGUUAGUUGGUUAGUUAGUUAGUUAGUUAGUUAGUUAGUUUUUAGUGGUAAAUGAACACAAUAUCUUUGUUUUAUUUAAAUAUUUUUAUGUGGUGCUGAGGAUCAAACCCAGUACCUCACAUGUGCCAGGCAAGCGCUCUACCGCUGAGCUAUAACCUCAGUCCCUAUUUAUUUAAUCUUUUCAAAAAUACUGUCAUGCAUCUGUCUGUAAUCCCAGCUACUCAGGAGGCUGAAGCAGGGGGAUUAAAAGUUCCAGACCAGCCUGGGCAAUUUAACAAGGACUAAAAUUAAAAAAUGAAAAGGUCUGGGGAUGCAGAUCAGUAGUAAAAUGCCCGUUUUCAAUCCCCACUACCUCAAAAACCCUGCCAAACUGUUUUCCAGAAUCUCUAUAUAUCAUUUUGCGUCCCUACCUGCAAUAUGUGAGUUAUGGGGUUUCUUCACAUUUUUGCAAGAAUUUGGGUUUAUCACAAUUUUUAUUUUGGCCAUUCUGAUAGGUGUGUGUCAAUACCUCAUUGUGAUGUAAAUUUUAAUUUCUCUAAUGGCUAAUGAUGCUGAACGUCUCUUCGUGUUCUCAUUGGCCAUCUGUAGAUGCUCUUCAAUGAAAUAUUGCUUCAUCUGUUUUGCCAUUUUCUAACUGGAUUGUUUUUUGACUUGCAUUUAGAGUUCCUUCCUCUAGUCUAGAUAUUAGUGUUUUGUCAGAGGUUUGUUUUGUAAAUACUUUCACUCUACAGCUGUCUUUUCAUCUUCUUAAUAUAGGGUCUUGUGAUUUUUUUCCCUCAAUUCUAAAAGUUUUAGUUUUACAUUUUAUAUUUAAGUUCAUGGUUCAUGUUGAGUUAAUUUUCAUAGAAGGUAUGUGCUAUGAUUUCGAUAUGGUUUGUCCCCCAUGUUCCAGUGCUAUAUAUUUUUUUAUUCCCAAAUUUAGAGGAAAACAUUUCAUACUACACCAUUAAGUACAAUAUUAAGUUUUUUUUUUCACAAUACCUUUGUUCUAUUUAUUUAUUUUUAUAUGGUGCUGAGAACCCAGGGCCUCACACGUGCUAAGUGAGCACUCUACCACUGAGCCACAACCCCAG
This 1776-nucleotide long non-coding RNA is filed under the name Marmota monax (woodchuck). The record is from RNAcentral. Lineage: Eukaryota; Metazoa; Chordata; Mammalia; Rodentia; Sciuridae.